Molecule: unclassified non-coding RNA, 248 nt
Filed under: uncultured Trichosphaeriales
Lineage: Eukaryota; Fungi; Ascomycota; Sordariomycetes; Trichosphaeriales
Description: sequence contains 5.8S rRNA gene, ITS2, 28S rRNA gene
Source: RNAcentral
AACGCACAUUGCGCCCAUUAGUAUUCUAGUGGGCAUGCCUGUUCGAGCGUCAUUUCAACCCCUAAGCACAGCUUAUUGUUGGGAACCUACGGCUUCGUAGUUCCUCAAAGACAUUGGCGGAGUGGCAGUGGUCCUCUGAGCGUAGUAAUCUUUUAUCUCGCUUCUGUUAGGUGCUGCCCCCCCGGCCGUAAAACCCCCAAUUUUUUCUGGUUGACCUCGGAUCAGGUAGGAAUACCCGCUGAACUUAA